CGGAGAUCCUCAUCCUAGACUGCAUUGUGAGACCUCAUGCUGAGAACCCAUCCAGACACCUCCAUCCCAAGACCCCCAUCGUGACACCCUGGGCCCAUUAGCCCCUGUGUACUCAAGGGAAGUCGACAAGGUGGAGCUGAGGAGACCCCAAAAUUAGAAGUUGAGAAGAUGAAUUCUAAAAACAGCUCUCAGCCCUGCUUAUCUGUCUGUGAAGAAGAAAGGGCCCAUCCAAGCUGCUAAAUCGAAUUUGGAUGUCAGAAGGCAUGUACAGCACCCAAACUGCCUGUGGCCAAAACAGGGCCCUUCCCCAGGGACACAAAAGCUGACAGGGCUGUGACAGUAACUUGAGCUGGCAGUGGAAGAGAUGCUGAGGUAAAGGCAAAUACUGACUGCCAACAUAGGAACACCCACCAUAAACAUCCUGCCUUGAGCCCACCUGGAGCAGUGACGCAGCUUCACCUCAGAACCCUUCAGCCACAGAUCCUCAGUCUGCCAGUCCCAAGCCUGGAUUGGAGUGCCGAGACCUCCUGUCUGCACUGCUGGGAGAACCGAACAGCCCGUGACAAGCAAUGGGCAUCUGCUCCUGGAGGCUGCAGGUAUAUCAUCCAGCCCAGCUUAUGGCAUGUUUUGCUAAAGUCUUAAUCCUUUGGAUGUUCUCCUUUUAUUUCUCAGCAUUAAAUUAGCCCUGUCUUGCAUUACCAAUACCGCACACUCCUCUAAUAAUAAUUCCAUAUUCUUUCUCUCUACUGCCCCAGUAACGGGCGGAAGGAAUCACAGGCUGUAGUUUUGCUUGCAUUUUCUUUAGCAAACGUGUUUUUUUUUUUCUUCAGGUUGAGUUAUAUUUAAUCUGGCUCAAUUCCCAAAUUAGGUUCACUGCCUGGCAGCAAGAGCAGUUGUACCUGCGCACUUGGGAGGAGCUGGGGAGCACAUGGAGCAGCUGCAGGACCGGGGCAGGGGCCAGCACGGCUGCUGCAUGAGGGGCUGUUGAAAUAUGGCCUUGUCUUCUGAUUUUCACAGGCAUUCACAAAGACAUGUAAGAAAUUGUCCCAAGGCACACAGGAGGCUGCUUAGAACAAACUGCCAGUCUUGGGAAUAUACAUGAUUUUCCAAGAUUUGUCCUUAGCCUAACUCAUGCAGACAGCCAUUAGGAGAGGGUGGCUGAAAUCACUCUCUGCCACUCAAGUCACCCUUUUCCCCUCCGCCAAAGGCAAAGGAGUAAAGCACAGGUGUAACAGCACAGACAGGGCAGUUCAAAGUGCCAGAAAAGGCUCUGGAACUUACACAGUCCCUGGUAUCUCCUUGAUGAAUCCUGAAGAGCCAAACCUGAUGCUGCGGUGAGGGCAGCUUGUCCCUCAGCAAAAGGAAAAUGGCAAAGACAAGCCACCAGUCCUCCAGGAGCUGCAUCCUGCCCAGCUUGUGCUCUCUCAGGUCUGAGAGAGCUGUCAGGGGUCUGUAGGUACCUUGUGGGUACAGCAUGGGUGCCAAAAGCCUCAGUCCCUAAAUACUAUAAGGUCAGGGCAGGAUUUUUCCCUGUGUGCUUUUGUGUUGUGACACAAGAACCAGCUUGCUGAAAACCACUGAUACAAGUUGCAAAGCUGUGUCUCUCACUGAAGAAAAAAUAACAGCAUUUAUUAGCUUUAACAGGAACAAAAAUGGAGAAGCAUUUUGGGACAAAAUCCUUUGACCGUGAAACAGAAAAUUCCCACUCCAGGGCAAGUGGCAUUGCAAAGAUGUGCUCUGGGUUUAAUUUAAUCAUGUCAAAAAUAAAAUAUGGUUAAUAGCUGUAAAACUAAGGCCAGAGGUUGCAAGUCCUGUGCAUCAGAGACAAGUAACUCUCACCUGAGCACAGUGAUGGUUUGGACAGUACAGUCGGCUAGAAACAGCAGAAUGCCCCCCAAUCAGUAUCCCGUGGCCAGCCUGGGAAGGAAAUAAGGUUCACUGAGAGCUGCAGUCACUAGCUCUGCUGUUACUCUGUAAUUGAAAACAGCAACUUGGUUUCUGGGAUCAGUUUCCCAUAACAAGGUCUUUAUUUCCCCAAAGCUUAUUUACUUUUCCAGGUUCCUAUGCUUCUCUGUAAGCCAGAUCUCCCCAGGAAAGCCAAUCUCUGAGCAAUCACAGAUAAAAUGCUGGUACUGAAAAAUGCUUCUCCAACAGCAACGAAAAAUAAAUCACAGCCUUUGGAAAAAAAAAAAAAAACAACCCCAAACAAAAAACAGUGUGAAAGGGUUAACAAAGAACAAGGUCAGCAGGCUCUGUGGAGGCACUGUCUGUGCUGGCAGCUCUGGCAUCUGGUCCUGAACCUCCCCGAGCCUGCACUGACUGCGGAUGGCCCGUGCCUGUGGUGCUGCUGCUGCAGAGGCCCCGCUCCUCUCCCUUCCGCAGGGCUGACUCACUGCAGCGCUCCCAGCCACGCACAAAACACAAAGGCACCAUGGCUGUGCCAGCACGGCCACCCCCUUCCCCUCUUCCAAACUGACCACUGAGUCAAUCCCUGCCAGCUGGGACUGCCCUCUGAUCUGCAGUGUGCUCCUGGCAGUAAAAGAAUUUCAAAAACCCCAAAGGUCCCUCAUAUUCUUAAUGCCUGAGUCACUUGAGAAAUGUGCUGAUGCAAUAGUACCUGCAAAGGACUUGAAAUGGGAGUUUUCAGCCGGGAGUCAUCACGGAGGAGGAUUGAGAGCAUCACAUGUAACGGCUGAAGCACUAGAGACUGUUAAUUUGUCCCUGGGUGUAUUUGCAGGUACUUGGCACAGUGAUCCUCCCCCAAUCCAUGCUCACCCCAGCUCUUUUCUUCUUGCAUGGGUUUAUAUAUUAAUGACAAAGGUUUAAUGUUCUAAGGCAUGAAGCAAAAUGCCAUUGAAGGGAUUUUUCCCUGCACUGGUUCUGCAAGUACCUAUUAACUGUCUGCAUGAUGUCACCAACCUACCAGGGACCUUAGGGUCCCUUGGAACAGGGGGCCUUUCAAUUGCUCAUUGCUUUUGGAGAUGAGAGCACUUACCUGUGCUCUCAAAUGCAUGACUGGCAGGAGGGUCCCUUCACAGAAUGUUAAGCAUAUUUGCAGCCCCAGACAGGACCCUCUCCUAUCCUUCCACACCAUUCCUCUCAGCAGAACUGCAAGCUGGCUGCAGCAUGCUCUCCAGAGCCUGGGUUUGGGAUUCACCUCCCAGGUGCAAGCUGUCGCACUGCACCAGGAAAGCCCCCUCUGCAGUCAGUGUGAGACACAAUUAACCUACAGAUUCUAUAAACGUUUAUGACCCCUGGGGAAAGCCUAAUUCAGAGAUUUAGUCUACUUUUGCUGAUGGAAAGGAAUGACCAAAACCCUUCAGAUAAGGAAUUUCUCCUUCUGCCAGCCACUGCUUCAGCAGGCAUGCAGGAUUUCCCUUCACUUGGCUUACACCUUUGUACAGCCCCACCACCAUCAAACACUGCCACAAGGCAAAGCACUGCCCAAGAAAAACCAGCCCAGUCCAGCACCAGCCCACUGAGAGGUGACCGUAUAGAUAUCAGUAUUCUAGCAAACAGCAAAAAAUAAAAAUAAGCCCAUUCCUUUGUUAAUAAUUACUGCUGACCCAGACAGGAUAACCAUCUCAUAGCUACAGUCUCCUGCAGACCCAGAAGGUGCAGGCAGUGGCACCAGGCCUGGGCUAGGCAACACCCUUGCCAGGUUAGACACUCCAAAAAGCUUCAGUGAAUUCCUUAUGUUCUGGCCACUGCUCUUCAUGGUACUCGCAUCACUCACUGGACAGGUAUCUUGGCGAAACACACAUAUUUAUUUUCAUUCCCAACCAGGUGAAACAUCCCUCCAAAUACAUCAACUUGGUUUGAUGCCAAAGGCACUGCUAGCACCAGGUGUCUGAAUAAUAACAUUUUGGCUUUACCACUGAAAGGGUCCAACACAUAUUUCCCAUAUAAGCUUGGCAGUACUCAAAUCCUCAGGCCAGAGGAGGCUGCUCCAGCACUUAGCAGCUGCAGCACCAGAAUCUCCCAGCUCAAAUGGUCCUGUGAUUUAUAAAAGAUAAAAAUACAAGUUCUUGACUGAAGCCAUUUUGUUGAUGAGACUAUUGUUGAAGUACUUCAGAGGCAAUUACUAUUCACAGUACAGCUUCCAAGCAGCUCAGCUUCUGCAGGGCCAGCACAAGGACAGGCUACUUGUUUCAUGACAAGGCAGCUCCUCUCCUGGUCACAGGCUGCAGCCUGCACCCUCUCUCCCUGGCCCUUGGCGCAGGCUGCAGCUUCCCCAACCCCUGGUUACAGAGCACCACACUGAGCCAGAUGUGAUCAGGGUGAGCACAGCCCUGCAUCCCUGCUCACCACGAAUAUGGCCCAUGGCACCAGCUGGGAACCACACUGCCAUGGCCUAGGAGAAAGAGAAAGUUGUGGCAGAGCUGGCAGCAUCACUCUGGCAUGCUGCCCAGUCACUUCAGGAACCUGCCUGCCUCAAGAGACCUCACCCUCUUCCCAAAGGAGCAGCAACAGCUGGAAAUCAGAGCCAGGGACUCAUUACAGCGAUGUAGUGAGGAAGUUUUAUUUGGAAACAUGGUAGAAGUUUGUAACCCAACACUGGGUGCACGACUGAUGCCGGAGCAUACGCAGUUACUAUUGAAACACGGGAGUGUUUCGGACAAUUGCUGUAAUAAAACACAAAAUUCUCAUACUCCAAUACCAGGACACUACAGCAAUCUUUAGAAUCAAAAUUACAUCCAAGGAAUUCUCUGCACUUACAAUUUACCCCACAGUGUAAUCUACCUAUAUAUAAGAUUAAUAUAUAUAGCAUGGGAAAUUGAAAAUCCUUGCUCCAUAGAUGUAUGAACAUGUCAAGUCUUUUAUAAAUAAACAUCCAGUGAAGAGAAAAAAAUUACAUUUCUAGUUCAUAUUUAUACAUAAAAUACUAACAGCAAUGGGUGGAAAAUUGCACAUGGGCCACCCCAAGCCAUGCAGCAGGCCUGGAGCAACCCAUCCAAGUUAAUAUUGAAGUACACACAGGACAGACGAGUCACUAACAUAUAUUGCGCAUUUACAAGAGAUCAACUACCAAAUUGGGACAACUGUACACAUUGGAGAAACCAUUUUCAUUCUGGAGCUUUUUUUUUGUUAAAUGUAGAUUUGUUACAUCUCUUUACAUCAUACCGCAACAUUUA
Long non-coding RNA from Motacilla alba alba, 5135 nucleotides. RefSeq lists it as uncharacterized. The transcript is spliced from 2 exons. The record is from RefSeq and is a predicted model, not a curated record. NCBI's taxonomy places the organism in Eukaryota, Metazoa, Chordata, Aves, Passeriformes, Motacillidae.